GUCCACGCCGUAAACGUUGGGCGCUAGGUGUCGGGGACCUUCCACGUCUUCGGUGCCGCAGCUAACGCAUUAAGCGCCCCGCCUGGGGAGUACGGCCGCAAGGCUAAAACUCAAAGGAAUUGACGGGGGCCCGCACAAGCGGCGGAGCAUGUGGCUUAAUUCGACGCAACGCUAAGAACCUUACCUGGGUUUGACAUGCAGGUAAAUCCCAUAGAGAUAUGGGGUCCGCAAGGGUCCUGCACAGGUGGUGCAUGGCUGUCGU
Molecule: ribosomal RNA, 262 nt
Filed under: uncultured bacterium
Lineage: Bacteria
Description: partial 16S ribosomal RNA
Rfam family: Bacterial small subunit ribosomal RNA
Source: RNAcentral